AUUAUGUUAAUUAAUAUUUAUUACAUAUAUAUUAUACUAUUUAUUAUUUUAUUAUCCCCAUUUUAGAGAUGAGGCAAUGGAGGCAGAUGGCCAUUAAGCGGAUUACCUAAGGCUACACAUCUAGUUCUGUGAUUCUAUGAACAGUGAGUUUUUUAAAGUCUACUUCUUAGAAAGUCAUUGCAUACCACUGUUGAAAGCAUCUGGACAUCAUCAAAUGAAGAGGGACAGAGCUUAAUCAUCAAUUUUUUAGCAUUUCGCAGAAGACUAUACACAACAGGCAUUUUAUAAGUAUUUAUUGAAUGGAUGAUAGUUUGUGUUGGUUGAUCUGAUGCUGAUAGUGGCAAGAGAUGCAGAAAUUGGGCUUCUUCUCCCUUCUAUUGAUUCAAAUAAAAUAACAUUAAAAAGCUUGC
This 410-nucleotide long non-coding RNA is filed under the name Monodelphis domestica (gray short-tailed opossum). Its description in RNAcentral is "lncRNA (ENSMODG00000032029.2)". The record is from RNAcentral. Lineage: Eukaryota; Metazoa; Chordata; Mammalia; Didelphimorphia; Didelphidae.